AGCUUUACACAGUGGCAGUAUUAUAGCCAAUGAGGUUUAUCCGAGGCAUGAUUAUUGCUAAUUGAAAACUCUUCCCAGUACCCUGCCGUGAUGACUUGAAAUACAGUCAGCAUUGGCAAUUUUUGACAGUCUCUACAGAGA
RNAcentral lists this small nuclear RNA (141 nucleotides) under Balaenoptera musculus (blue whale). RNAcentral describes it as "U4 spliceosomal RNA (ENSBMSG00010005439.1)". It matches the Rfam family "U4 spliceosomal RNA". From Rfam's summary of the family: U4 small nuclear RNA (U4 snRNA) is a component of the major U2-dependent spliceosome. The structure of U4 snRNA from yeast and human has been reported. The record is from Rfam by way of RNAcentral. Lineage: Eukaryota; Metazoa; Chordata; Mammalia; Artiodactyla; Balaenopteridae.